GCCGCGGUAAUACGGAGGAUGCGAGCGUUAUCCGGAUUUAUUGGGUUUAAAGGGUGCGUAGGCGGAUAGAUAAGUCAGUGGUGAAAUUCUGCAGCUUAACUGUAGACUUGCCGUUGAUACUGUCAGUCUUGAGUAUGGUCAAGGCAGGCGGAAUGUGUAAUGUAGCGGUGAAAUGCUUAGAUAUUACACAGAACACCGAUUGCGAAGGCAGCUUGCUGGGCCAUUACUGACGCUGAUGCACGAAAGCGUGGGGAUCGAACAGGAUUAGAUACCCUGGUAGUCCACGCCGUAAACGAUGAUCACUCGCUGUUGGCGAUACACAGUCAGCGGCUAAGCAAAAGCAUUAAGUGAUCCACCUGGGGAGUACGGCCGCAAGGCUGAAACUCAAAGGAAUUGACGGGGGCCCGCACAAGCGGAGGAACAUGUGGUUUAAUUCGAUGAUACGCGAGGAACCUUACCUGGGCUUAAAUGUAGAGUGCAUUGGUGAGAAAUCAUCAUUUUCUUCGGAACUCUCUGCAAGGUGCUGCAUGGUUGUCGUCAGCUCGUGCCGUGAGGUGUCGGGUUAAGUCCCAUAACGAGCGCAACCCUUAUCGUUAGUUGCCAGCGGGUAAUGCCGGGGACUCUAGCGAAACUGCCGGUGUAAACCGAGAGGAAGGUGGGGAUGACGUCAAAUCAGCACGGCCCUUAUGUCCAGGGCUACACACGUGUUACAAUGGCCGGUACAGAGGGCAGCUACCUGGAGACAGGAUGCGAAUCUCGAAAGCCGGUCUCAGUUCGGAUCGGAGUCUGCAACUCGACUCCGUGAAGCUGGAUUCGCUAGUAAUCGCGCAUCAGCCAUGGCGCGGUGAAUACGUUCCCGGGCCUUGUACACACCGCCCAU
This 880-nucleotide ribosomal RNA is filed under the name uncultured bacterium. RNAcentral's name for it is "bacterial SSU rRNA". It matches the Rfam family "Bacterial small subunit ribosomal RNA", at positions 514 to 1397 of the family's 1533-position model. The record is from RNAcentral.